GAACAGAAACACACAGACGCUCACUGUUGCUUCAUCUGGAGAUGAACUUGAGGAAGUAAGUGACUACGUUAAUAUAGAUGUGAGCACUGUGGACAAAAUGUCAGCCACCUCAGAUAAGAAGUGUGGCUCCUUCACUCAGAGUUUUCUACCAGUAGCAGUGAGUUGGGUGAUACUGUUGGUAAUCUUGGUCCUUCAUAUCUACUUUACAUCUGUCAUCUCUGAAAACAACAACAAGCUGACUGCAG
Molecule: long non-coding RNA, 245 nt
Organism: Scomber japonicus (chub mackerel)
Lineage: Eukaryota; Metazoa; Chordata; Actinopteri; Scombriformes; Scombridae
Exons: 4
Source: RefSeq, a predicted model, not a curated record